AGGACGAACGCUGGCGGCGUGCUUAACACAUGCAAGUGGAGCGACGAACCAGGGCUUGCCCUGGGGCAGAGCCGCGAACGGGUGAGUAACACGUGGGUUACCUGCCUCGAUGACUGGGACAACCCGGGGAAACUCGGGCUAAUACCGGAUGUGCCCGCAAGGGGAAAGGAAGCUUCGGCCUCCGCAUCGAGAUGGGCCCGCGGCCCAUUAGCUUGUUGGUGAGGUAACGGCUCACCAAGGCUUCGAUGGGUAGCUGGUCUGAGAGGACGAUCAGCCACACUGGGACUGAGACACGGCCCAGACUCCUACGGGAGGCAGCAGUGGGGAAUCUUGCGCAAUGCGCGAAAGCGUGACGCAGCAACGCCGCGUGGGGGAAGAAGGCUUUCGGGUUGUAAACCCCUUUCAGUUGGGACGAAGCUUCGCCGGUGAAUAGCCGGCCGGAGUGACGGUACCUUCACAAGAAGCACCGGCUAACUACGUGCCAGCAGCCGC
RNAcentral lists this ribosomal RNA (492 nucleotides) under uncultured bacterium. Its description in RNAcentral is "SSU rRNA". It matches the Rfam family "Bacterial small subunit ribosomal RNA", at positions 26 to 518 of the family's 1533-position model. The record is from RNAcentral.